GGGCUCACACAAGCGGUGGAGCAUGUUGCUUAAUUCGAGGCAACGCGAAGAACCUUACCUGGGUUUGACAUGCAUGGAUUAACUCCUGGAAACAGGAGCCACACCCUCUGGGUGGAACAUGCACAGGUGCUGCAUGGCUGUCGUCAGCUCGUGCUGUGAAGUGUCGGGUUAAGUCCUCUAACGAGCGCAACCCCUGUCGUUAGUUGCUCACGGGUAAUGCCGAGCACUCUAGCGAGACUGCCGGUGUCAAACCGGAGGAAGGUGGGGAUGACGUCAAGUCCUCAUGGCCCUUACAUCCAGGGAUGCAAACGUGCUACAAUGGCGCGUACAGAGCGAAGCAAGGCCGCAAGGCGGAGCAAAUCGCAAAAAGCGCGCCCCAGUUCGGAUUGCAGGCUGCAACUCGCCUGCAUGAAGUCGGAAUCGCUAGUAAUCGGAGAUCAGCUACGCUCCGGUGAAUGAGUUCCUGAGCCUU
RNAcentral lists this ribosomal RNA (472 nucleotides) under uncultured bacterium. Its description in RNAcentral is "bacterial SSU rRNA". It matches the Rfam family "Bacterial small subunit ribosomal RNA", at positions 917 to 1382 of the family's 1533-position model. The record is from RNAcentral.